RNAcentral lists this long non-coding RNA (291 nucleotides) under Carica papaya (papaya). RNAcentral describes it as "long non-coding RNA (CPAP_LNC005918)". Lineage: Eukaryota; Viridiplantae; Streptophyta; Magnoliopsida; Brassicales; Caricaceae. The record is from RNAcentral.
UUUCGGCCGUGUUUUCCGACUUUUGGCCGGGAUUUUGGCUCCGAUUUGGCCACUGGAGAAAUCAGCGUGGAAAAACGAGUCGGGGCAUGAAAUUUACCUCGAUCGGCGGUCGGAAAUUCCUCCGGUGCGGCGGCGGGUGGCGGCGGCCGGCUUCUGGUUCGUCUUCUCCGGCGAGGGCAGGCGGCUAGGGUUUGGGGUCUGGUGUGGGGGUCUUAUUUAUACCCUUUUGCCUUUUGAUCUCAGCCGUCCAUUUUGAUUUAAUCUGGGUCGUCCGUUUUUGAUUAAAUCUGG